AUUGAACGCUGGCGGCAUGCCUUACACAUGCAAGUCGAACGGCAGCACGGGAGCAAUCCUGGUGGCGAGUGGCGAACGGGUGAGUAAAGUAUCGGAACGUGCCCAGUCGUGGGGGAUAACGUAGCGAAAGUUACGCUAAUACCGCAUACGAUCUAUGGAUGAAAGCGGGGGAUCGCAAGACCUCGCGCGAUUGGAGCGGCCGAUAUCAGAUUAGGUAGUUGGUGGGGUAAAGGCUCACCAAGCCGACGAUCUGUAGCUGGUCUGAGAGGACGACCAGCCACACUGGGACUGGGACGCGGCCCAGACUCCUACGGGAGGCAGCAGUGGGGAAUUUUGGACAAUGGGCGAAAGCCUGAUCCAGCCAUGCCGCGUGCAGGAUGAAGGCCUUCGGGUUGUAAACUGCUUUUGUACGGAACGAAAAGGUUUGGGCUAAUAAGCUGAGCUCAUGACGGUACCGUAAGAAUAAGCACCGGCUAACUACGUGCCAGCCGCCGCGGUAA
This 500-nucleotide ribosomal RNA is filed under the name uncultured bacterium. RNAcentral describes it as "partial 16S ribosomal RNA". It matches the Rfam family "Bacterial small subunit ribosomal RNA", at positions 30 to 523 of the family's 1533-position model. The record is from RNAcentral.